RNAcentral lists this transfer RNA (63 nucleotides) under Bostrichoidea sp. 1 KM-2017. RNAcentral's name for it is "tRNA-Met". The record is from RNAcentral. Lineage: Eukaryota; Metazoa; Arthropoda; Insecta; Coleoptera.
AAAAUGAUAAGCUAAAGAAGCUAAUGGGUUCAUACCCCAUAUAUAGAGUAAAUCUUCAUUUUA